Molecule: long non-coding RNA, 20640 nt
Filed under: Chlamydomonas reinhardtii
Lineage: Eukaryota; Viridiplantae; Chlorophyta; Chlorophyceae; Chlamydomonadales; Chlamydomonadaceae
Description: long non-coding RNA (CREI_LNC001416)
Source: RNAcentral
UGCCCUGCCCUCAACCCGCCCCGCCCUUUCUCCCUGUGUCCCAAACGUAAUGGCAUGUACUGUAGCGGUGCUGAGCACACCAAAGCAGCCAAGCAGGUGGCUGCAUAGACCAAAGUGGGUAGGAGCCCUCACAGUCACAUCCACCACAGGCGUACCAAUUCUGCGACUUCAUUAAGUAGUCUCUUACACACAUAGAUUAUUCGGCGCGAAUCCUGGGUCAAUCCUGGAGGCUACGAGAAAGUCAUUUGGGCGUCCCCCGGCGGGGGGACGCGAAAUCAUCUUUGUCUAAACGUCAAGUAGCGAUGUGCUAUAUCGCAAUUCUGCUUCCAGAGGUAAAUCUGUAUAUAGUUAAUGCACUAAGACCAGCUCUUACCCCACGGGAACGACCAACGUCAUAAUUCUCAAGGUUUCAGUCGUGUACCCACCGCUCUUUCGCAGUAUCAGAGCCACAAUAGUCAUGUUAUAGUACAUAGCCGUGAAGUAAACACAAUUUUGCCCGGGACCCUGGCUUGCCAUGCGCCCAUGCAACGUCGGCGGCAUGCCAAUCAAGCAUUUCAGGAGUUCACUUCAUUUCUCUGCAGUUCUGCGUUCAUUAUAUAUCUAUGUCACAUACAAAUGAAUCAAGCUAUUUGAUUAAUCAACCAUUCUUUGCGUCGCUAUGAUUCUGAGACGACUGUGCUCGAGCGGCGGAUGCCUUCGUUCGCGAUAACCCCUGUCGACUAUAUGCAGCGACAGUGCCAACAAUGCAAUCUUGAAUGGAGUAAUGAAGCUGGCUGGCUCAUAUUUCAUAAUAACGAGCUCGCCGGUCAACAAGUCAACCGCGCGUUGACCGGGGCGUUUCCACUCUGCAAAUGGGCCCGGCAUAGUGCCCUGUGAUUGCUGGCUCAGGUAAUAUGUGCAUUGCACUGAGACAAUGCCCAGAGUUGGUUUUAUGUACAUACUGUGCGGGUCCACAAGUCAACAUUCGCGCGCGCUCGCUUGUCGCCCGCAGGUCUCUGAGCCAGGCGCAAUGGCGUACAUUAGCUCAGGGUCCGCCGUGCGUGCGCCCGUUUUCACGGCUGGUGUCAAGGUUGCAGGUUGGGCUGCGAGCUGAUGGCGCGUGGUCUCAAUGCCCGCCGUGCUCGCGCCCCUUCCCGCGGCUGGUGUCAAGCCCGCAGGGUAUGGAGCUAGCUGCUGGUGCUAGGGCUUGGAUUCGGUUAAGGCCCGCCGUGCUCGCACCCUUUUCCGCGGCUGGAUGGUGUCAAGCCCGCAGGUGGUGGCGCGCCGUGUGCCUGGCCUACGCCCCAAGGCCCACCGUGCUCGCGCCCUUUCCCGCGGCUGGUGUCAAGCCCACAGGUGAGCUACUGGCGCGAGGACUGCAGUCAAGCAGUAAGUUUGCAAGGCAGUGGCAUGGUCCUGGGGACACGGAGGGCAGCUUUGGGGCAAGGGACGGGCCCAUCCCUUCAAUCCCGUCUAACAUAAUGCACCACAUUGCUGCCGCAGGGAUGGAUGGUGGAGCGAGCUAAGACAUAUGCUACGGUGUUGGCGCAUGGUGUCCAUGACGGUGCUGCUUAGUGCUCAAGUGGCUGCUAUGGAUUGUGGAGGCCAGACCAUGCCUAGUCACUUGUGUGAAUCAGCUUGGAGGUAGGCUUCCCAGCUGCAAGGGACUUCGUCCCUGUGGUCUUCUGUGGGGCAGGGCGGGACAAGUGCGGGGCAAGUGCGGGGCAUGGCGGGGCAAGUGCGGGGCAAGGCGGGGCAUGACCCCUGCGGUCUUGUAAUAGCUGUUGGAUGCCUACUGCGCCUCUCUCAUGGACGGGGCGGGGGCUGUAGCGUGGCUGCGGGACAAACAGCAGCAGCAGGGUAAAGGGAGCAUAAGGGAGCCUGGCCCACUCAUCUGCGUGGGGGGUUACCCAUCUGGCCCGGUAACCCGUUAAGGGGGGGGGGGGUUGCCCGCCUGGCCCAGUUUCCUCGGGGGCCAGUUAGGGGCCCACCCCCGUUGAGUGAUCCCCAUCACCAGUUAGGGGGGGGGGGGGUUAGGGGCCGAAACACUGACGUAGGGUUGGCGGAGUGGUACCCACGUGCCGACAGAUGGAUCGCGGGAUUUGUUUUUGGCAUUUACCGCUUGGAUUCUAUUCGCAACGUAGCUCGGAAUACACGCUUAAUAUGCAUAGUUAGAAGACUUUGGGGACGCAAAUCGCUUGGAAAUGGAGGAGGGUCUCAAUAUGCUCGGCUCGCGAUGUCGCGCUCCUGAGCUUGUAUUAUGCACUGCGCGCAAUACGCGUUCAGCAUGCAUAUUCUUACGAACAACUAGGGACUUGAGUGACGCGGUGUGAAAAUCAGUCGGGGUCUCGACAUGCUUGGCUCGCCAUUUCGCGCUCACGAGCUCGUUGUGUGUGUUCCGAACAUUGCACGCUCAAAAUACAUGUUCAAUAUGUCCGUCGCGAUGUUGGAGCUUCAAAACCGACAAGCAUGGUGUAUAGAUACACCUGGUAGCCUGAAUUCCUGUUUUUUCGCAAUGUCGGUGCAUUUUGUUGAUGUUGCAUCAUGUCGUGCUUCAUCGCAUUCUUGAUUUCUGCACCGGCGUGGUCUUGUUUGUAAAAUUCCGCGGUGCCCUGAUCUUAUUUUGUUCUUCGCUGUGAUCUGGCAAAAAAAUCUGAUCUUGGCGGGAUUCGAACCUGUGACAGCAUCUCACUAAGGGCCAUAUGUCGUGCGGAUGGGCAGGCGGUACGGCUGCAGCCACCAUGGCAACCGUGUCCCAAGAUCAGAUGUGCAGCAACGUAGCAACUGCCUGUUCGGGCGCGUUGACGCCUUCUUCUUCAAGUUCGAAAUGAAUCAGCGCGGAGAGCUGCACGUGCACGGCUGUAUCUGGCAGCCCGGGCUGCAGCCAGCACGCCUGCGAAAGGCGCUAGCGGACCCGCGGAGUUGUCCCGACGUGCUGGACUUCCUGGAGUCCGUGCAGACGCAGUGGUUUGCCUCACCGCUGCUGUUCAGCGGCGGCGAGCGACCGGUCCACGCUCAGAAGCUCAGCACCGAGCAGCUGCAGGAGGUGGCUGAGGCGGCUGGCAGCGAGCGCUUGACGGAGCUGCAGCGGGACGUUCUCAGUCAGGUGCUGGCAGGGGUGCGGGGUGGCCAACUCGGCCCAUGUGAUCGGUAACGGUCGGCAACCGCCCCCAAUUCCCAGUUGCGACCAGGCCCCGGCCCGAUUUCUUUGCAUAGACCUAUAAGGAGUACCCCAUAGAAGACCCCUGGCGCGCCGGGCGACUAUAUGACGGUGGUCGAAAACAUGCUUGCCGACGCAAAUUGGAACCUCGGCUUGGAGGCAGGGAGAGCUGCGCGAUAGCAACCUAUGGACCUGUAUUACAUUGGAGUUCUGAAGCAGCUUUGUUUCAGGACUUCGGGGGCCUACUACAAGCAGGGAGGGGCUUCCAUGCGACCGGCGAGGUGCAAUUUCGAGCCGGAGUUCAAAAGCAAGACUGCGCAAUAGCAGGCGCCAGCGCUGCUUUGAUACUUGACAUGUAACAACCAAUUUGGGCGCAUAAAACAAGUGGGGCCGGUUCAGGACGGCCUUGCCGGACGUCGCCAACUUCGCGCCCCCCUGUGCAGGCUGUGUUAAGCCGCUGGGCACUGUGCCCCUCUCAUUCCCCGAGACCGGCACGAAGCCAUCCCCGCGCACCCGGCUGAGCUUGUUGGUUACAUAAUGGAUUCACAGUGCUGGCUUGCUAAGUUGAGCGCCCAAACACAUGUGCCAAACCAGGUCCGUUGCUAGCGCAUCCACGCGCACCCAGUCACCCCUGCCACUCCAUGCUCCUAGUCCUUUUCACUCGUUGCAGGCGGAUGAAAUGCUCUAUGCGCCCUUUGCAUGCAUCCACGCAUACCGUACAUACACAUAUACCUCUAACACUUCCCAUGCAUCUGCAUUGCUUGCCCUGUGACCUCUCCAUCCCCUCCAGCACCUCCCCUCCAGCACCUCCCCGACCUCGAACGUGGCAUACCCCUAACCCACCUCGAACGUGGCAUACCACUCCUCAGACCAUAUCGUACGUCAUUUGCACUAGGUUACUACUGCAGUUAAAAAGGGGUGCGUGGCACAACUAGAAUCCAGGGCGCAAUCAGCGCGUACGUGUACAUACAUGGUCAGGCCACUAAGGCCGCUAUGACUGACACAGCCCACAUCACCAGUUCACGGUUGCAUUCCAGAUGUACAGAGGGGCCACUAGUAUGCCGUGUGUUGAAAUGGCAGCAGACAUGUACAGCUGCAUAAACAAACCACGUCGAAAACACGUGUGCGCCACUGCCAUAAAGUGUGUGUGCGGCAAUCCCUGCUUGUCAUGCACUUGCUGCACUUGUUUUAUUCGUGCCACGCCCGACCAAGUACUAGUCGACAUCAUAUCGCGUACAGCGCGCUACUAUGUUACUUAUUCGUGGUGUAUGUGCGCAUACUACAAUGCUGCUCCUGCGUCACAUCCCGCGUCACACAAUCAAAUGCAUGUAAAAGGUCCCAGCCUGCUGUUGUGUACUUCACUUUCAUUGCUCAGUAUGAAAGCAGCCAUCAUGAAUGCAUGAAAAUACUGUAAACAUGUAUGCAUUUGGGAGACAUAUGCUCAUGGGCGCUUGCGCUUGUCAGCCGGCUUCACCGGAGACACGGCCUGAAGGCGCUUGGGCUGAAAGCGCACACGCAUAGGUUGCGUGCGCAGCUGCUCGGGCUCCGGCUCCGGCACCGGCACCGCCAUACGCGCAUCACCAGGUCCGUCAACAUCCAUGGGCUGGGUGUUGGUGUCCUGUCCGCCUGUUCCACCCCGGCCCCGGCCCCGUCCACGGCCCCGCCCUCGGCCACUGUCCAUGCUGGCCGCUGGCGCGAGUGCCACCGCGUCCUUGUCAGCAGCGGGCUGUCCGCGGCCCCUGCCCCUGCCCCUGCCGCGGCCCCGCCCGCCCGCACCGCCCGCACCCAUUACCGACGUACUGCCAGCCGCCAGGGGCUGUGCCGCCCCGGUGAGGGCCGCAGAGCACUCAUGGCAGAACCACUCCUCCUCCAGUGCAGGCAUCUUGAUUGGCGGGUCAAGGCAGUGGGUAUGAUACGGCGAACUGCAGCGAGAGCACAGCAACAUGUUCUCUGCAGGCUGUGGGCGCUCGCAAACCAAGCAGCAGGUUGAGGCGUCAACCAGCUUGGUUGGCUUGCCGCCCUUGGACUUUUUGGCGGCGUCCGCACGACGCUCAUCCCGCAGUGCGCGAGCUGCCGCGUCGUCUUUGCCUGCCAGCAGCUGGGUGUGGCGCAGCAAGCCCACCAGGUUGGCGUGGAUGUACUUGCUGACUAGGACACCCAUAGCUGCGCGGACGUGCGAGCUGCUGCCUGUGCCGACUGUGCUGUCCUUUGCAGCCUGCUGGUACGCGGCCUGAAACCUCUCCCAGCAACCCUGGUCGCAGCGGAUGCGCCCGAUCAGGUCCUUUACUGCGUACGCGCCGUCCUGCAGCACCAUGUUCGCGCAUUGAAAGCGCUCAAUUAUGGUGGGGUGAAGCUCCACGAAGAAGCUGACUAGCGCCGGAUGGGGGACAUACAGCUUCCCCUGCGGCAGUGACUCCUGUAGCUCAUCGUUGAAUACGCGCCGGUGGGUGCCAUCUGCUCUGCCGCUGACAAACUGCUGCAGGAUGCGUCGCGUGGGAUCCGCUUCAGGUGUCGCUUUGAUCGCGCUGUGCAACGCCCACCCCAGAACGCGCUCGCACGCGGUCGUGCUGCUGUACAGCUCGAACACCUGAGCGUGCACCGCCUUCUCUUCCUGCUGUGCCUUUGUGCCGCCGUGGUGUGCGUCCGGCAUCAGGACCGCAUUCAACACGCCCAGACUGUAGGCGGCGUUGAAGCAGGCCCCGUGGACCAGGCAGGCCGCAUCGCCCAGGCCCCGGAGAGCGGCCGCAGAGGCGGCAUCAGUAGCUGCAGCACCUUUCGACACCAGCGGGAGCUGGGGCAUCGAUCCCUGUGGCUCUGAGGCUGUGAGGUUGCGCACGCACCAUGCCCACGCCGCAGCACACGCCGGCCCAUGUCGAGCUGCGGCCACUGGCGCAAACGUGUCAGCGGCGGUGCCUUUGCUGGCCGCGUCUUGAGCUGCAGCUGCGGUUGAGUUGAGCAACCAGCAGCUGUACUGCACGAAUGCCGGGCUGGGCUUUCCGGCCUCAGCUGCACGCAGAGCGGUCGCCAGCUGGGGGUUCUCAGCUAGGGGCCCUUUCUUGCCGAUGAGGGGCGGUGCAAUGAGCUGAGCGAGGGCCUGCGCGCGCCGCGCGUCCGACUGUAGGCCGGCUGCUGGCUCUGCGCGGGCUGUGUCGAGGUCCCGCAGCUGCCAUGUGCUGGCAGCAGGCUCCUUACGUUGUCCAGGCAGGGCUACACGCAUGCGGCGGCGCAGCAGCUCUGCUGCCGCUGCAGCAUCUGGCGCCACGAGGCUGCCGUUGUGGGCUGCCUGAUACGAGCUACCGGACUUGUGAGCACCCAAGCCGGAGUUGAGCACUGCGAGCGCUUUGUUCAUCCGUAGGCUGGCCUCCCCGCUCACCACAGCUGCGGCCGUAGGUGCCCUAUCCUGGCCGUGACCGCGCAGCUGGCUGAAGGCGUUUUCAACACAGUUCUGGUUGAUAGUGCCGAGGAUGAUGCUGGUGCCACCGGUGCGCAGGUACCAUCGGGCCAGAGCCACCGUGCCAAAGCAGGUGACCUACAAGCACAAACGUGAAGAGCGACAUGUUGGUCACGCGCGACAUAGGGCGAACAUGCCAACAUCCCGGGCUUAUUAGAUGAACAUGCACCUGGCCAAACGAGCUGCAACCUGGAUUGCCGCACCUGGAAAUCGCUUUGGCAUUGGUGAGACAAGCCGUGGCGGACACCAGGCCGAAGGUCAUCAUCGUCAGGGGGCACCGCUUUCAGAGCCUGAUGCCAGUCGUAGACCACGGUCCCAUUGUGCAGUAGCUGGCGCAGAUGAGGGUCACUCGCGUCCCUGACAGGAGUGACUCGAUCUGUUGACAACUUGGUGCUGAGCGCAAGCCUGCAUAAGGGAAUUAGGAGAAAGAACGCUUGAAUCUACGUGGGGCGAGUAAAACAAAGCCCCCAAACAAAGCGCCCAGUAAUGCUCCGCACCUGACAUAUGGACGCAGAUCUCGGGCACCGUCAAUGAUGUGCUGUGGUGGGGCCUUUUGGUUGUCCCUCACCCAGCCCAUCUCCGCAGUCCACUUGCAGAACAUCUCAAGUCCAGCGAAGAGCUUUGACGCGAGAUGGUUCCGCAUGCGUGACCAAGAGUCAAGAUCCGUCAUAGCGUUGGUCACGUUGCCCAUGACACGGGGGAGGGAGUGCAUAUCCCAGCGCACACACUUAACAACGUCCCUCCACAUAAUCGGCCGCCAUCGGGGCGCGGGUACAGGUGGCGGCACCGGUUCGGUGUGCUGCGUGGUGACAGGCGGUGGUGGCGUGGGUACAGGCGGCGGCGGUGCGGCAGGCACGGGGAUGGGCGGCUGCGCGGCGGGCGGCAGCCCGGUAGGCGGCUGCGCGGCCACGGCCACGGGGAUGGGCGGCGGCGCGGCGGGCGGCAGCCCAGUGGGCAGCGGUGCGGCCACGGGCACGGGGAUGGGCGGCGGCGCGGCGGGCGGCAGCCCAGUGGGCGGCGGCGCGGUGGAUGGCGUGACGUCUUCGGGAAAGAAGACUUCAGACGUGUUCUUCCCAUCCUUGCCUGUGGACAGAUAUGAGCAAGCUGCGUCAUGUGUCAUCUACCACUGGUACAGAACUUUUGCGAUGGCCAAUGCCUCCGGUCUGCACUCACGACCACCUCCUACAUACAAGACCGGCGCCCGGCUUGCCUGUUCCACCAAAGCUCUUCUCGAUGGCGUUGCGCAUCUUCUUGAUCAGAUGCGGUGCAUCGGAAAUCAUGAUGACGGGGCGUUCGGGGUUGGCCGGGCUGCGGAAACAGCGUAGGCACUCUGUAACAUCCUUGUCAGGACAGGGCAACUUGAUUUCGGUAUCUGCAUGAAAGGGCAAUAAACGGGAAGUGGAAGUCAGAAGUUGGUUGCACCCGAGGCUAACAACACGUGUGACGCGCCAUCACUGCACGACACCGCACCUUUGGCUAACUGAACGGCCAGAUCCCUGUCGGCCAUCAUCUUCAUCCAGGCACGGUUCUCAGAAGCCCCGUCACAAACAGUGUACGCGACCUGCAGUCCUGCAGCUUCCAGAAGUACGAUGACCUCGGACACAACAGACUGGAGUUCCACGGCCUUGAUGCCGUCCGUGAACACAUAGCCUACUGAGUACCUGCAGAGGGAAGGAACGUACGGUAGUUUGGUCAUGAACGGGAGGCACGCAGCCUGGAGCACACAUCGUCCGGCGUGCACGGGGAGAGCCCUCACCGUGUCGGCCGCUCCCCAAGAGCUGUGACCUCAAAGUGAAGCACGUGAGUCGCCAGGGCACGGCACACACUCGGCGCAUCCGGGUCAGCUGAAGCAGCACCGCCGCUGCUAUCUAGUAGACCCUCCAGGCGCUGUGCAUACGCAGCGGCGUCGACAUCAGUAAAGCCCGUGAGCGAAUCUGAAGUAGUGCUGAACGUCAAGCCCCGAGACAGCUUCAUCUCGUCAAAAGCAAGGCCAACGCGCGUGUCUGCCUUGCCUGCCCUAAGGAGCUCUGCUGCUCGCUCUGCAUGCGCACGGUGAAAGCCGGAGCCGUCUAUAGCGAAGUGCUUGUAGGCCAGCAGCGUGUUGAUAGAUGGCAGCGGCAUGAAGGAUCGGAGCUCCUCAAACAGCCCUUCACCGCCCUUGUUCAGUACAGUCAGGCCCAGCUGAAUCGCACUGCAAGGGCACGGGACGAAUUACGGUACUGUUAGCCAGAUCCCGCACGCACCCAGCCCCGCCCACCCCUUCCCGACUCCAAUGAGCCCCACCUGUUAUGCCAGCGCAUUCCACGCGUUGCCUUGCCGCCAGACGCGGAGCGCCCCAGGUAUUCGAGCUGAUCAGCCCACAUAGCCGCCAAGCCAGGGUGCUGCUCUAUGACCUGGCGUGCUGCUGGCUUCUCAAGCAAGUGGAGUAGGGCGGAGCUGUGAUCAGCUGAUAACUCCCGCAUACGGGCUCGCGACUGGUCCAACUCCUCCGCGUAGCGCUCGCAGUCUGCCUGUAGCGACGUGUUGCGCGCCUGGAGCUGACAAUUCUCUUUCCGCGCCUGUGCCAGCUGCGCUUCUGCAUGCUGGUGUGCGUCCAGCGCGCUCUGCAGCUGCUCUGCAAUCCGGGCCUUGGCGGCGGCCUCCUUCCUUGCAGCUGUGGCGACAGCUGACGCCUGGCGCUGGGCAAAUGACGAGAGGGUCGACCUGAGCGAGUGGUUGUGAGCUUCGCAGCAUGGGCAGCGAGUUGCAUAGGUGUGACCGCUGACCAAGCCAUGGCACGCGAUACUGGGAUGCACGUCAAGUUUCUGAGUGGCAGCAGUCUCGCCACUGGCGCGGCUGCACGGAAGGUGCACGGUGCGCGACUCAGCCCGGUAACGCUGCAGCACAACUGACUCCGUCUCGUUGCAAGCUGCCUUGUGCGCCAGGUAUGGUGCAAAGGCAGCUGCAGUGGGACCGCCGGCACAGGGGCGGCAAGCCCCCAGAAACACCAAGGCGUCAGUGAGGUGCUGCUCCGUGCAGAGGCGCGGGCUGCUGGGUCCGUCAGGCGGCAUCUGCACUGUUGCAUGAGAGCUGAAAAUGCUGUAUGUGAAGUCGGGGUACAGAUGAAGCUGAAGCGAGUUGAGGUCGUGCGCGCAGCUGUUGCUGGGUUGAAACCGCAACACCAAGCCGUCACUUGCGUUGCGGUGCACGCUGCAGUGCCAGUCAUCCUGGACUGCGCGGUCCCACUUGGGGUCGCCUCGCUGCGCUCUGCCGUUGAAGCUGUGCAUGAUGCGUGCAAAGCGCUCAUGCUCAGGCAACUGCUCCAGUGUGCCUCCCUUUGCCUCCGUUGCUGCGGCUGCUGCUGCGUUGAGAAUGGUGGCGGGCGGGAUGUCCGUUUCGUACACAGACUGGUACACGGCAAGGGGAUCCUGCAGGGCAAUGGUGAGCACAGCAACGAGUUAGCAAUGUGUUUGGCAGACCGACGCGUGCAUCCAGCGCACCUGCAGACAAUUCCAGCUCUUGCAUACUGAUACACCCAACCCUUGCCCAAGCACCCAUCAGAGCCCGGUGCAAAGCCCAAACCAGAGCCAUUCACCUCUUGCUCGAGCAACUCCACGAGGAAGCUUCCCACGGCAGAUGCGGAAAAGUCACGAAUGAAGAUGCCGUACUUGGUACAGCGCUUCCAACCCCGGUCCCAUGCAGUUACUGCAGCGUUGCCCUUGCCCGUGCGAAAGUCUGACAGGAAACGUUCCAACUGCUUUGGCGUACAGGUCAAGUUGACCAGGUACGCAAACAGCGGCGCCACGCGCGCACAAACCUCGUCCGUCCGCGUGACGUUGGAAAGCGUGAUGUCCUUGUAGGUGGUGUCCUUGAACACGGCGUUGAGCAAAGAGUAGAAGAUAAUCUCCACGGCGGUUGGCGGCUCCAUAUGCGCACCGACCUUCUCAGUCCAUUUAGGCCGAUCCGCUGGCAGAAAGGACGAUGCAGGCGGAGGGAAAGGUGGCGGCGGCGGGUUUGGGAGUGCGGCCGUAGUUGGCCAAUGAAGUGGAGGGAGCGGGGGCGGUGGUGAGGGAGGCGGAAGAGGGGGCAGCGGCGAGGGGUGUGCUGGAGGGGGCGGUGGUGAGGGGUGAGAUAGAGGAGGCGGCGACUGGGGCGCAGGUGGGGGGAGUGGGGCGAGCGGCGGCAAAGGAGGCGGCGGUGACUUGGGUGGAGGAGGCAUAGGUACAGGCGCGGCGACAGCAGAGGGUGGCGGCAUUGGUGCAGAUGGCGAGGGUCCACCAGCUGGAAUGCUCUCCACUGCCGCACGGUUGAGAAGGCCAAGGCCAGGCCCGCUGUGGUUACUGGUGUCGGUGUUGAUGCCAACUGACAGAGCGUCAAUGGCGAUGAGGAGGUUGACCGCACUUGCAGCUUGCAUCACGGAUGCUGGUUGUGGUGGCGCCUGUGCUGCCGCAACGUGCGCGUGCAGCAGUCUCUUGUGCUCUCCGCGGUUGUCAACGGCACACUGAGAACAGAUCCGUGUGCCUUGCUUUGACCCAGAAGGAGGGAGGGUAAUGGCCAGCGGCUUCAGGUGCUGCUCGUCAUGGAAGCGGCCGUGCAGGUGGACUGGCUGGGGGUUUCUGCCGUUUGCCACGUAAGAACAGCAAUCGUUGGUUCCAUUGCAGUAGUCGGGGCGCAUGCCGCCCGUGGAAAGGGUGGCGAAGGGGUCCUUCGACUUGACGUACGUGCCGCACAGAACGCACCAGCCCUUCUCGACGCCCAUUGCAGCGAACGCCUGCAUGCACAACAGAGAACCCAAUUCAUACACCUCAGGUAACAGCAAGUAAUGGUUGCCCACGUCUAGGAAUGUGGGUCAACAUGCAAUCGGCACGCCACCACCAGACCGGGCGUUGUUAACCACAAGGAACUAGCCCUAUGUUGACCAAAUGCUCAUAUGAUAACAAAACACAAUGUGGGUAUGGCUGUAUGCGUGCGUUUGCCCGGGGCCAGUGCAUCCCGAUGCUGCGAGCUGACAUGGCUGGCGUGCCGUAGGUGCGCUCGGCCCUCCAUCCAGUCAAUCGGCAUCCUGAGUAUACUAGAAAUAGCGGAACGAGCCAAGGCAAACAAUUUAUGACGUGCAAGGAAUGUUGCAUGGCGCCCCGAGUUCGAAACUGCAUUGGUUAAACUGCAGUGCACUGCAGGUGCGAUGAUUUCUGGUGUUGAUGCAUGUGGUGCAUGUAGCGGGUACCAAAAGCUGGCCCCUCUGCACCCGGACCCCCGGUUCAAACUGCGAGCUAAAAUCCUGGACGCGCGGGCAACGCUUUGCAGAUUUCGACCCUGACCACCUCGUUGAUAUGGUAUAGGUAAUAGCGGAAAGGCUUGAUAUAGGUAUAAGAAGCAGCAGAGCGUUAAAAUGUGAAGCAAUCAAAGCCAGCGACGCCUCAGAUGAUAUGCCCGAUGCGCUAGGCUGAAUAUUGGAGCAAAGGAUACCCCAUAUCAUUCAUCGGAACAAGACUAAGGGCGGUGCCGGCGACCCUACCGUCAGAGCCAGCGCCCAGAGCAGCCAACAGCGACCGCCUUGUCUGCUUCGCUCCAUCUACUUCGUAACACUUCUAGAUGGUCACCUGGCGCACCGGGCGCCGCAUGGAGGCUGGAAAUGCGGUAAUGCUGUUCAAAUGGUCAAGUUUCGUCAAAGGCCAGUAAACUAGUCGCCCGGCGCGCCAGGGGUCUUCUAUGGGGUACUCCUUAUAGGUCUAUGCAAAGAAAUCGGGCCGGGGCCUGGUCGCAACUGGGAAUUGGGGGCGGUUGCCGACCGUUGCCGAUCACAUGGGGCGAGUUGGCCACCCCGCACCCCUGGGUGCUGGUGGAGGUGAAGGCCAGGGGGGCCAUGGAAGACGCAGCCGUGUCUUGUCGGCCGCCUCUACAAUGCAGCAGUUUGACUGAGGCGGAGCGGCUCGGGUUAUUUGCUGCGCACGCGGUCCUGGAGACGCUGCUGCACGCCCAUCGCGACGGCACGUGCACCACGUCACACAGCAAGCAUGCCACGGACAGCAACUGCCGCAUGCGGCUGCCUCGGAUGCUGCACUGGCUCACCACGUACCUGCACAAGCAGUCGGUGUGCGUGCACCUCAAGCGGUAUGGCCGCUACAUGGUCUCGCAUAUGGUGGCCCUGCUGCUGGCAGUGCCUUGCAAUCACACCGUCACGUUUGCGUGUGACGUGGGGCGCUGGCUGCGCACGCGCGAGCUAUGGGAUCAGCGGCACGAGGGCAUUCCGCGCCCGGACCCUGUGUGGGAGCGGCGGCCGCAGCUGCCCAGCCUUGAGCAGCUUGCCGCGGACGCAGCGGACUAUGCCCUGAAGUAUGCCACCAAGUCUGAAGCAGUGCAGGGCAGCAGGGCCCUUAUAGCCACAGCCACCAUGCUGCGGCGGCGCAUGCACCUCAUGACGCCAGAGCAGCAGGCCGGGAUUGAGAGUGAGCACCUGCCGAUCCAGGACGUGCUGGAUCAGCUACGGCAUCCCUUCGCAGCCUUUGCGGACGCCAGCGCCUCUGCCUGGGCGCCCCAGCCUCCUACUGCAGGUGUGUCAGCUGCAGGUGAGAGCAGCACGCUGGCACAGGCGCAGUUCACGGCGGAGGUGACGGCGCGCGCACAGCAGUCCGCGACUGUGGCCGCGCUGCGCACUGCGCGGCCUGUCGGCGUAGUCGGCGCGGCUGCGGUGCAACGGGAGGGGAUGUUCAACCUUGCGCACGCCAUCAACCUGUUAACAGCCCAGCAGACCUUCUCCGCUCCAGCAGCGGCGCUGCUGCUGAUGCGGGGCACCGACGCGCACGAAAGCCACCAGUUCAGGGCCAUCGAUUACAGGAUGUUCUCGCAGCAUGUGCAGUCGCAGCUGAAGCGCGCGGACCCGGAGCUCAGGCCCAGAGACACCCAGCUGCGGCUCGUGCGUACAAUGGCCAGCGUUGGAGCGGGCGGGAGUCCGAGAGGGGAAGGCCAGCUUCCGGCCGCCAGCACAAUCGCUAGCGAUGUCCCAGAUCCCGGGCCCAGCGGAAGCGUACAGCAGCAAGAGCAGCCCGCCGUCGCACCUGCUCGUUACCGGUCAUCAAGCUACCUGAAAGACUACCUGUACCGCGGCGAGGCGCUGCGCGAGCUGUCUCCUAUGAUGAUGGCCAUGUUGUUUUAUAAGGUACGAGGUUGCGUGCGCGGCAGCUUGCACGCCUGGAGUUAUGGGGUGCAGGGGUGUUCAGUCUAUUCAGUCCGUAGGUUCGCAUGUGUUAUAAUGUCUUGCAGCAGCACUUCGGCAGGGCCCAGCGGCAAAGAACUGUAUGUGUGCCCACCACCCCGCAGCACUCGGCCGGGCCAGAUGGAGCGCAAGGGCACCAUCUGCGCCUGCAUCCCGCGCACCCAGAGUACAGUAAAUGCGUGUGGCGGCGCCGGCUGCGGCCGUACGUGCCGCAGCCGGUGUGUGACCCCGUUGUGCGGCCUGCGGACGGCGUGGACGAUCCGCAGGUGCUGGAGCGCUAUGCACUGUUUGCGCUCGCGAACUUCGCCGCCUACAGCUGUGACGACAUGCUCGAUCUCAGCAACGGCGCAUGGGCAGCUUAUCAGCGGUGCUUUGCACAGCCGGCGGACGGCCAGUCGCUGCAUGUGCGCAUCGCGUGCCGUAUGCUCGAUCACGUGGAUGGGCUUGCGCGUGUGCGAAUGCGGGCGGAGGAGCGGCGGCAGCUGCAGGCGGAGGCGGAGGGCACCGCUGAGGAUGCGGCGGAGGAGGCACUGUUGGAGGGCGUGCCGGUGGAGGGCAUGGACGACCUGGAGGCAGAGCCGCAGGAUGAUGAGGAACCCGAUGUUAGGCGUAGCGCAGCGCCCGCAGCGGAGCUCUGGCAGGGUUGUGCGCUAUCGGAGACGGAACGGGCAGGGCUGCUGCAGCGCGUUGUGCACGGCGGCCUGGGUGGCGGUCUGACUACAGAGGCGACCACCGUGGUUGCCCAGAUCCCGCGCGCCAAUGCAUGGCCAGCGGUUGGGCGUACAGCGGCGGCGGCAGUAGUGCGCAGCACACAGGAGUGGACGCACGAGCGGCUGGCUGCAGCACAGCAACGCAUGCAUGAUUACGACCUAGUAGACCUAGGUGGGCAGUACGCCGCACAGGCGCUCGCGCAGGCGCAGGGAGCAGUGCAGCAGCAGCUGCUGCUUUACAACAGCGGCACUGCGGCAGUGACAGCGAAGCUGGUGCUCAUCUCGCCAUUGGCGGUUACCACAGCCGUCCCAGAGGUGCAGGGCGUCUGGCCCGAUGCAGCGAACCCUGGUGCAGAGCCGCCGUACGUGCUUUGCCCGGAGGACUCGCAGCCGACGCCUAAAGACACAGCGCGGUUAUGGAACCUCAGCGACGACCAGCAGCAGGCGUUCAUGCUGUACGCGCAGCUCCUGCUAGCAGCGGCUGCCGGCGUCCGUCAGCCCCCCGUGUGCUCGGUGCUCACGGGCAAAGCCGGCAGCGGCAAGUCGCGGGUGCUGCAGGCAUUGCUGUGGUUUGCAUACCAGCACCGCUGCGAGUCUCUCAUUGCCCUCGUGAGCUACACGUGGCGCGCUGCGCUGCAUGUGAGUUGUGUGUGGGGUGUGUGGGGUGUGUGGUGCAAGAGGGGUUCAGUUCUGAGGUGAAGUGUCGCGGCGGUGGACUGGUCCUGCUAGUCCUGCUCGUGCGUGCGGGGGGGUUUAGCAGCCAGGGAGCCUUACAUGAUCAUGCUGUUGACUUCGGCCGCUGCCAUCACGGUCCAUUUACAGGACUCUACGCCAGGCGUGCUCGGCACCAGCACCACGUCCUUCUUUGCGACUGCUGGCACGUUUGGUCCGCCUCACCGCGAUCGAGUCGAGCGCAACCUCAAUGGUGUGCGCUUCAUUUUCCUAGAUGAGUUUAGCACGUGUGGGCUGUCCCACUGGGCGCGCAUUUGCAUGCAUGUGCACGCGGCACGGAGGCACGUGGGUAUAGACAGCACGCACCUAUAUCACGGGCCGCUGUCAGAUCUGCAUGGCCUGCUUGUUGGCGACUUGCGUCAGUUGCCACAGCCACGGCACGUGCCGCUAUAUAGCGGUGCUGCGGAGGAGAGCUUGCGGCGGCUGCUGGCGCCGGGCGCGGGGGACGGUGGGGCCAUGGAGCGCCAGAUCCGGCAGCUGGAGCAUCCGGAGGGCAGCAUGAACCUCAUGGGGCGGGAGCUGUGGAAUAUGGUGCCGUUCGCGUUCGUUCUCACUCACCAGCAUCGGCAGCAAGCAGGCGUAGGUGACAACAACGAACCUCUCUUCAUGCUAGCGGAGAAGUUUGGUGGCGUGCAGGAAAUCUCUCAGGCAGAUUUGGACACAGCGUGCGAGCAGCUCAACGCGCGUGUUUGGCGGCCCCCGAAGCCAGGGAUUGACCCCGUGCCCCAGCCCUUUGCAGUUGUCCAGCGCCAUGUCGUGCGGGUUCCACUGGCAUUGCAGCUCGUGCAGCUGCAUGCGCUCGCGCAGCGUCAGCAGCUGCUGCUGUGGCGUAGCGCGGACUUGUCGCCUGACGGGAGCAGCUUACCUAUUUCGCAUGUGCAUCAAUUAGAGGCGCUUGGCGGAGCCGACGAUGAUAGUGGUGUGCCCGCUGUGUGCGCAUUCUUUGCUGGCAUUCGUUACGUGUUUACAUCAAAUGAGCAUGUGCGUCUGUAUCACAUCAACAACAACAGUGCCACAGGCACCGGCAUUGUUCUGCAUCCCAACGAGCCACCAUUGCCAGAUGCAAGCAUUGCCCCCGUGCAUGUCCUCAAGUUCGUGCCCUCGGCUGUAAUGGUGCGCCCUGACGGGCCUGAUGCGGGUCGGGUGUCUGUCGAUCAGGCCCUGGAUGUCGGGGAGAUUCCUGUUUUACCGUGCAGUGCUAUGUUCACAUCGCAGCAUGCAACCCUGCGGUUGCCUGUGAUGCGCUGGGGCUUUCGUGUGGAGCUUGCAUAUGCAGUCACUGAUUACUUUGCGCAGGGGCAAACUCUGCCACCGCACGAACUGUGGCUGGUGGAUAUGUGCAAACCGCAGCACGGCAGUUGGCGGCGGGCUUCAAUUUACGUAAUGCUCACCAGGUUUCGUGGGUUGCAUGCGUUACAUUUAGUGCGCCCGCUGUGGGCCUCGCGGGCCGAAGAGCGCCGGCUUGAAAAGGCGCUGCGUACCAUGCUAACGCCCGAGGCAGAUCUAGCUGCGGAAUGGCAGCGGCUAUUGAGGCUCUCGCAGAGCACAGCAGUAGCGGUGCCAGGUAUGAUUGUGCGCAUUCAGGCCAGCAUGGCUGCCUCAUAACCAAGGCCUUCAAUGCAUGCAUGGUUGCAACAUCUGGCAUGUGGCGGUAAACACUGGGUUGUCCUGCGUCCCGGCCAGCAAGGAUAGCGUAGUGUUUUUAACAUGCGCGAGGUGUACUGACAGAUGACCUGGAAGCGUGGAGUACCUUGUGGGUGGUGAGUGCUGACUGCAAUUUACAGCAGUGACUUUCUUGUUGGUGUUUGGUGUGGUGACCAUCAUGCUUGGCUUCGCUGGCUGGACGUAUGUCACUGAGCUGUUUGACAGACAGGCGUAGGGCAACGUGUACGUUCGGGUUUAGUUUCUACCUGUCCUGUCUCUGCGUGAAGCCGGGGUAUUGUUUAUCUGCUUGCUUGUCGUGCGUUGGAUUGUUGCGUGUUUACAACAGGUUGAUGUGUGGCCUGGUUAAUCCCUUGCACUUUGAUGAGGUUAUUGUUAGCCAGCGGGUGUUCGCACACGCGGGUACCACCAGGCGGCUGGAUGGGGUGUACGGGAGCCCCUUCUUCCGCGGGCCUUUUCACUAUUAGCAAUAACUCGUACAAGGAUGCUGACCCGACCUAUCCGCUAUUGCCCGUGGUGAAAACUGGGCUGCCGUCCGGGGGGUGCGUUUUCCCAGCCAAACCCGCACGUUGGACGUUGCCCCGGGGCAAAUCCUACCGCACGGAUUAGACAACGCCUUUCUGUAGGUACAUAACCAACAUCAUCAUCAGCCAGAAGUGGUCGGCAAAGGUCCAAAUUAUGCUUAUCAGGGCUCAAGUCGCGAAAUUGACCGAAGCCCAUACCUCGCAUAUGCGCUGUUUGGGGCCUGAAUCUAUUGCUGUCGACAUUAAUUCUCGUAUAGAUGUAAUCAAAAUAGCUUCAGGCUAAGUUGGCGGGGUCCUGGCGAGCGCGACAUAUAGCAUUUCAACUUGAGCUCUCGCUCAAAAUUAUGCCCGAGCACCAUCCAGGGACCUUAUUAUGUGUAAUGGGAUGUCAAUUCAUGAUCGGGGCGACAGUCUGGGCAUAGACCUUGCGAUCCCGCCCUUGACUCCCCCCUAACCUCACCGACCCCCCUUAAUCCCCCCCCCCCUAAUCCCCCCCCGCACCCACCUGGCCCCUGUACCCUGGCCAGCCCAGAAAGCCUUGUAAUAGCUCCCAAAUGUGGUGUGUAUUACGUGGGAACACAGGGGCGAGAAGUCUGGGGCGAGGACUGUGGGGUCCUUGGGGUGGCCUCGCACCUUGCCGACCCCCUGGACCCCCCAGUAACCCUGACGGCCGAGCUGAGAGCGCCGCGCUUCCUGAGCUGUAAAAUUACUUUAGUAAUGUAGUUGCAUGUAGUGUAUGCUUCCUGAGCAUAGGAAUGCAGCUGAGCAGCUGGCUGUGUCGACCGAGGCAGCAAUGAUCCCCUCCGGUCACUGCUGUCACUCGGCGCAUCGCUUUAGCGGUUGAUAUCAAUAGUCUGUUAUGCAUUUAGUGUACUUGUCGCAGAAGUGCAGGCUUUCCGGGUGUCUUGGAGAAAGUGGUCGCGCGUCCCCCGGCCGGGUGAUGCAAACCCAUCUUCGUCAACUCGUCGAGUUGUGUACUUGAACUUAGCCACACUGUCCAUAUUGACUAAUGCCUAUAAAAAUCAAUCAGGGGUCAACCCCACACGGGUAUGACGCCGGUCUGGAGAGGGGCAAAAACGUGUCCACACGUGUUUCUCCGCGCUCGCGCAGAUUUAGCCUCCCUCUCUCCGGAAUUAAGUUAUAUGACAUAUAAGGAUGCAAAAGAUGCCUGUCGGCACAUACAUUUCGCGAGGCAUGCUUUCGCCAGGGUCGCACUGUAAAGCCCCUGACCAUCUAAUCAGCCUUAUAACGUAUAGCAUAGUCGACGGCAAUCUAGUUUGGCGUUAAAGCAAACGGUCUGCGCGAGCUUGUCGAGCAUGUUGACCGCGACAUCACUUACUCGGCCACAAACAAGAUAUUUGAGGUCUCAGUAGUAUUAAACAAAUAUGGAUUGAACGCCGGUAGCUAUUUCAGUGGUCGACCCGACCACCGUGUCCGACCGUGCCAAGCAGGCCGGAACGCACCCCCCGGACGCCAGGCGGUUUUUAAGCUACUUGGCGAUGAGGAUCAGACAGAAGCACGUCAGCCACGUAUGUUCCCGAGCUGCUGCCAAAAGUUGGGGUCUGAUCCGCAUCGCAAACCCUGUCAAACACCACAUGCCGUUUUACCCCUUUUCCAGACCGGCGUCAUACCCGUGUGGGUCAACCCCGACACCCAAAGCCGUCCAGGAGUGCAGAGUACUUUACAUCACCGGGUUAGGCCGUUUUCUCCUUCUUACAUCCUUCCUAGUACACUAAGUUAGAAGCUUACAUCCGUAGUACAAUAGGUUAGAACGCAGAGGAUGAGGUCUGGCCAAGGAGCAACAGCCGGCCCGGCCGGUGGUCGUUCGGCCACACCACUUUACUCCGCCCUGCCUCGCCCUGCCCCGCCCUGCCCCGCCGUGCCCUACCCUGCCCUGCCCUUAGAUUAGAUGCACCCUACGGGACUUUACCAACCUGCCUUACCACUGUCCCAUCGCACGGGACGGGCGUCAGCUGCACCCUAUGGGACCUCGCCAACGUGCCUGAACCCUGUCCCAUCACACUCCCAUCGCACGCCCUACCACGCCCUACCCUGCCCUGCCCUGCCCCGCCCUGCCCUGCCCUCAACCCGCCCCGCCCUUUCUCCCUGUGUCCCAAACGUAAUGGCAUGUACUGUAGCGGUGCUGAGCACACCAAAGCAGCCAAGCAGGUGGCUGCAUAGACCAAAGUGGGUAGGAGCCCUCACAGUCACAUCCACCACAGGCGUACCAAUUCUGCGACUUCAUUAAGUAGUCUCUUACACACAUAGAUUAUUCGGCGCGAAUCCUGGGUCAAUCCUGGAGGCUACGAGAAAGUCAUUUGGGCGUCCCCCGGCGGGGGGACGCGAAAUCAUCUUUGUCUAAACGUCAAGUAGCGAUGUGCUAUAUCGCAAUUCUGCUUCCAGAGGUAAAUCUGUAUAUAGUUAAUGCACUAAGACCAGCUCUUACCCCACGGGAACGACCAACGUCAUAAUUCUCAAGGUUUCAGUCGUGUACCCACCGCUCUUUCGCAGUAUCAGAGCCACAAUAGUCAUGUUAUAGUACAUAGCCGUAAAGUAAACACAAUUUUGCCCGGGACCCUGGCUUGCCAUGCGCCCAUGCAACGUCGGCGGCAUGCCAAUCAAGCAUUUCAGGAGUUCACUUCAUUUCUCUGCAGUUCUGCGUUCAUACUAUAUCUAUGUCACAUACAAAUGAAUCAAGCUAUUUGAUUAAUCAACCAUUCUUUGCGUCGCUAUGAUUCUGAGACGACUGUGCUCGAGCGGCGGAUGCCUUCGUUCGCGAUAACCCCUGUCGACUAUAUGCAGCGACAGUGCCAACAAUGCAAUCUUGAAUGGAGUAAUGAAGCUGGCUGGCUCAUAUUUCAUAAUAACGAGCUCGCUGGUCAACAAGUCAACCGCGCGUUGACCGGGGCGUUUCCACUCUGCAAAUGGGCCCGGCAUAGUGCCCUGUGAUUGCUGGCUCAGGUAAUAUGUGCAUUGCACUGAGACAAUGCCCAGAGUUGGUUUUAUGUACAUACUGUGCGGGUCCACAAGUCAACAUUCGCGCGCGCUCGCUUGUCGCCCGCAGGUCUCUGAGCCAGGCGCAAUGGCGUACAUUAGCUCAGGGUCCGCCGUGCGUGCGCCCGUUUUCACGGCUGGUGUCAAGGUUGCAGGUUGGGCUGCGAGCUGAUGGCGCGUGGUCUCAAUGCCCGCCGUGCUCGCGCCCCUUCCCGCGGCUGGUGUCAAGCCCGCAG